RNAcentral lists this ribosomal RNA (477 nucleotides) under uncultured bacterium. RNAcentral's name for it is "partial 16S ribosomal RNA". It matches the Rfam family "Bacterial small subunit ribosomal RNA", at positions 28 to 522 of the family's 1533-position model. The record is from RNAcentral.
GACGAACGCUGGCGGCGUGCUUAACACAUGCAAGUCGAGCGGUAUGGCCUUUCGGGGUACACGAGCGGCGAACGGGGGAGUAACACGUGGGUGAUCUGCCCUGCACUCUGGGAUAAGCCUGGGAAACUGGGUCUAAUACUGGAUCUGACCUCAGCAUGCCUGUGCUGGGGUGGAAAGCUUUUGUGGUGCAGGAUGGGCCCGCGGCCUAUCAGCUUGUUGUUGGGGUAAUGGCCUCCCACGGCGACGACGGGUAGCCGCCCUGAGAGGGUGACCUGCCACACUGGGACUGAGACACGGCCCAGAGGCCUACGGGAGGCAGAAGUGGGGAAUAUUGCGCAAUGGGCGGAAGCCUGAUGCAGCGACGCCGCGUGAGGGAUGAAGGCCUUCGGGUUGUAAACCUCUUUCAGCAGGGACGAAGCGUGAGUGACGGUACCUGCAGAAGAAGCACCGGCUAACUACGUGCCAGCAGCGGCGGUA